This 225-nucleotide ribosomal RNA is filed under the name uncultured Methylophilus sp. Its description in RNAcentral is "partial 16S ribosomal RNA". It matches the Rfam family "Bacterial small subunit ribosomal RNA", at positions 568 to 792 of the family's 1533-position model. The record is from RNAcentral. Lineage: Bacteria; Pseudomonadati; Pseudomonadota; Betaproteobacteria; Nitrosomonadales; Methylophilaceae.
CGCGUAGGCGGUUAAAUCAGUCAGAUGUGAAAUCCCCGAGCUUAACUUGGGAACUGCGUUUGAAACUGCAAGACUAGAAUAUGUCAGAGGGGGGUAGAAUUCCACGUGUAGCAGUGAAAUGCGUAGAGAUGUGGAGGAAUACCAAUGGCGAAGGCAGCCCCCUGGGAUAAUAUUGACGCUCAUGCACGAAAGCGUGGGGAGCAAACAGGAUUAGAUACCCCUGUA